This 76-nucleotide transfer RNA is filed under the name Thermoflavifilum thermophilum. RNAcentral's name for it is "Crenotalea thermophila tRNA_Trp_CCA". It matches the Rfam family "tRNA". Rfam says of the family: Transfer RNA (tRNA) molecules are approximately 80 nucleotides in length. Their secondary structure includes four short double-helical elements and three loops (D, anti-codon, and T loops). Further hydrogen bonds mediate the characteristic L-shaped molecular structure. tRNAs have two regions of fundamental functional importance: the anti-codon, which is responsible for specific mRNA codon recognition, and the 3' end, to which the tRNAs corresponding amino acid is attached (by aminoacyl-tRNA synthetases). tRNAs cope with the degeneracy of the genetic code in two manners: having more than one tRNA (with a specific anti-codon) for a particular amino acid; and 'wobble' base-pairing, i.e. permitting non-standard base-pairing at the 3rd anti-codon position. Lineage: Bacteria; Pseudomonadati; Bacteroidota; Chitinophagia; Chitinophagales; Chitinophagaceae. The record is from RNAcentral.
ACAGGUGUAGCUCAAUUGGUAGAGCAACGGUCUCCAAAACCGUAGGCUGGGGGUUCGAGUCCCUCCUCCUGUGCCA